Molecule: ribosomal RNA, 253 nt
Filed under: uncultured bacterium
Lineage: Bacteria
Description: partial 16S ribosomal RNA
Rfam family: Bacterial small subunit ribosomal RNA
Source: RNAcentral
UACGUAGGUGGCAAGCGUUGUCCGGAUUUAUUGGGCUUAAAGGGUGCGUAGGCGGUUCUGUAAGUCAGUGGUGAAAUAUCCCGGCUUAACCGGGAGGGUGGCAUUGAUACUGCGGGGCUAGAGUACAGAUGAGGUAGGCGGAAUUGACGGUGUAGCGGUGAAAUGCUUAGAUAUCGUCAAGAGCACCUAUAGCGAAGGCAGCUUACUAGGCUGUAACUGACGCUGAGGCACGAAAGUGUGGGGAGCAAACAGG